RNAcentral lists this long non-coding RNA (206 nucleotides) under Mytilus galloprovincialis (Mediterranean mussel). The record is from RNAcentral. Lineage: Eukaryota; Metazoa; Mollusca; Bivalvia; Mytilida; Mytilidae.
GUUAUAGGUCCAUGAUACAGAAACCCAGCUACAAAACUAACCAACAGAUAUUAAGAGGACAUCAUAAGUCUUCAACCAUUUAUGAAACCGAAUCGUUACGUGACAUGGACAACAGUUUUAAAACUUAUUGGUUUUAAAACUAUAUGUAAAAUUACAAUUAAAAACACUUUCAAAGUUCGAAUUUAAAAUAUGAAAGAUCACAAUUU